This 435-nucleotide ribosomal RNA is filed under the name uncultured bacterium. Its description in RNAcentral is "partial 16S ribosomal RNA". It matches the Rfam family "Bacterial small subunit ribosomal RNA", at positions 39 to 507 of the family's 1533-position model. The record is from RNAcentral.
GGGGGGGGGGGGGGGCGGGCGGGGGAGAGGGAAGGGGGGGGGGGAGGGGCGGAGGUCGGCGGCAGACGGGGGGGGAACACGGGGUAAGGGACCCUUCGGUUCGGCGCAACUCGGGGAAGCUGGAGCUCAUACCGGAUACGCCCUGAUUGGGCACGGUUGACUGCCGAAGGAGCGUCCCGCGUUUGAUUGGCUCGUUGGUGGGGUAACUGCCUACAAAGGCGACGAUCAGUAGCUGGUCUGUAAGGAUGAUCAGCCACUCUGGGACUGAGACACGGCCCAGACUCCGACGAGAGGCAGCAGUGGGGAAGAUAGGACUAUGGGCGCAAGCCUGAUCCAGCCAUGCCUCGUGAGUGAUGACGGUCUUAGGGUUGUAAAUCUCUUUUGUCCGGUACUAUAAUGACGGUACCGGAAGAAUAAGCCCCGGCUAACUUCGUG